GGCAUUUUUCCCUUAUUAUACAGUCGAUGAUGAGACAGUUUCCGUGUUAGUCCUUUUGCUAUUAAGACACUUUUCCAAUAAUUUUUCUUCUGGGAAUAAUAUAACUGCAUUUUGUAUUUGUAGGGUAUUAAAAGUGAUGGCUUCAUUUCUUUCACCCACAACCUUUGCAUUGGGCUCUAUCAACUUUGCUGACUAUGAGCGUGGUCUCUAUUUGACACAGUACUCUAUGGUGCUAUUGGUCUCUAUCUAGAUAAGCGAUGUGGUCAAAUGGACCACUUAGCAACAGAUUGCGAAGAGAAAGGCUGGGGAGUUUGAUGAAGAAGGUGAUACUGAAGUGGUGGCAAAAAAGUCUUAUCAGGUUAAGUUUUGGGUUUGAUUACAAAUCCAGUUCCUUUAUGUACUGCAUUUGUAUUUCUCUGCUUGGCUACUUUGAAUUUGUGUUCGUGAAUGGUUUAAAAUUUCAAAUUUAUAUUUGACA
Molecule: long non-coding RNA, 478 nt
Organism: Ipomoea nil (Japanese morning glory)
Lineage: Eukaryota; Viridiplantae; Streptophyta; Magnoliopsida; Solanales; Convolvulaceae
Exons: 2
Source: RefSeq, a predicted model, not a curated record